Molecule: ribosomal RNA, 468 nt
Filed under: uncultured bacterium
Lineage: Bacteria
Description: partial 16S ribosomal RNA
Rfam family: Bacterial small subunit ribosomal RNA
Source: RNAcentral
GACGAACGCUGGCGGCGUGCUUAACACAUGCAAGUCGAACGGAAAGGCUCUGCUUUUGUGGGGUGCUCGAGUGGCGAACGGGUGAGUAACACGUGAGUAACCUGCCCUUGACUUUGGGAUAACUUCAGGAAACUGGGGCUAAUACCGGAUAGGAGCUCCUGCUGCAUGGUGGGGGUUGGAAAGUUUCGGCGGUUGGGGAUGGACUCGCGGCUUAUCAGCUUGUUGGUGGGGUAGUGGCUUACCAAGGCUUUGACGGGUAGCCGGCCUGAGAGGGUGACCGGCCACAUUGGGACUGAGAUACGGCCCAGACUCCUACGGAAGGCAGCAGUGGGGAAUAUUGCACAAUGGGCGGAAGCCUGAUGCAGCAACGCCGCGUGCGGGAUGACGGCCUUCGGGUUGUAAACCGCUUUCGCCUGUGACGAAGCGUGAGUGACGGUAAUGGGUAAAGAAGCACCGGCUAACUACGUG